Long non-coding RNA from Leopardus geoffroyi (Geoffroy's cat), 1132 nucleotides. RefSeq lists it as uncharacterized. The record is from RefSeq and is a predicted model, not a curated record. The transcript is spliced from 2 exons. NCBI's taxonomy places the organism in Eukaryota, Metazoa, Chordata, Mammalia, Carnivora, Felidae.
UUAAAUAAAAUAUCUUGUUUCGGGUCUGGAUGAACCCAGGUGAGGAUGUGAUUGGUGGGGGAGAUUGUUGCCACUUGGAAUGGGUGCAUUGAGACAAGAGACAGCCCCUCCCAUGACCCCUCCCCACCUCUGAGCCCUGAAGGUGGUCUGGGGUCUCCUUGGAACCCCUCUCCUUGAGUCCUUCCCUUGUGUGAAGACACCACCAGUUUUGAACCUGUCCUCAGCGCCCGGGCCUUGUGGGUGUUUCUAGUGCUUUGCCCAAGCCAAGGGUGCUGUCCUGGGCAACCCAGUCCACGCCAUUUCCCGCCUGCGUGGUGCAGUCAGUUCCUUGCUUUCCUAGAAGCGAGUUUGUUGGGUCAAAGGGCAUGCGCAUUUGUGGUUUUGGGAGAUGCAGCCCAAAUCAUUACCAGUGAAAAUCUUGCCAGCGAAGGAGAGCCUGGCAGUGAAAUGCUUACUAUCCAGGGACCCCCCUGGGGGUGAACUGGAGCUUCUAAACUUUCUGAUGUGAAGCUUUGUCCUGAAGGGUCUGAUCCCUCUCGCGGCCCAAAGAAGGAAAUGAAACCUACCCUCUCCAGCCUGCCUCCUUCUACCACUGGUGACUCAUCAGAGCCCUACCCUGUGGCAGGCAGGUCUGGGUCGUGAAGGACAAAGUCCAGAAUGUACAUGACCUGGCCUCUGACGACAGCUUGAGGUCACUUCCUCUCCUGCUUUACACAUCAGCCAGCAGAAACCCUUGCAGUCCUUCGAAUCAAACUGUGUUUGCUCACGUUCGCGCUGGGACACCUCUUCCCUGUGACCCUGGCGGUGGUCACUCACACUUCAGUUCACCGGCCGAGCCAGCCCAGCUCCCCCCACCUCCCGAAAGCCUUCUUGGUUCCCCAUGCUGGGCAGUCCCUCCUCUGGUGUCCCUGAGCCCUCCCUAGGCUUCCCUGGCCCGGCCCGGCCCACUCUGGGUUGUCACUACUUGGGGAGGGUUCUGUUUCCCCCACUGGACGGUGAGCCCCGGGAGGGCAGGGCUGCGGCUGCCGUGCUCAGCCCUGGGUCCCCAGUAUCGCCCAGCAGAGAGCUCUACACAGACGGGGGGCCGGAGGGGGGCAUGUUGAACGAAUGAAUACAGGAGUGCACGAAUGAA